CAUUGUUUCCGGGGUCGGUGUAAUUCCGAACCGGCAGUUAAAGUCUGCGACCCGCUUGCAUCCAGCUAGCGGUGGACUUGGUGAAACUCCAAGACCGACGGUUAAAGUCCGGAUAAGAGGAAACAAAA
Molecule: non-coding RNA, 128 nt
Organism: Actinobacteria bacterium BACL2 MAG-121220-bin52
Lineage: Bacteria; Bacillati; Actinomycetota; Actinomycetes
Source: Rfam